UACGGAGGGUGCAAGCGUUAUUCGGAAUUAUUGGGCGUAAAGGGCGCGUAGGCGGCUACUUAUGUCAGAUGUGAAAUCCCGGGGCUUAACCCCGGAAGUGCAUUUGAAACUGAGUGGCUUGAGUAUGGGAGAGGGAAGUGGAAUUCCUGGUGUAGAGGUGAAAUUCGUAGAUAUCAGGAGGAACACCGGUGGCGAAGGCGACUUCCUGGACCAAUACUGACGCUGAGGCGCGAAGGCGUGGGGAG
This 245-nucleotide ribosomal RNA is filed under the name uncultured Desulfatibacillum sp. RNAcentral describes it as "partial 16S ribosomal RNA". It matches the Rfam family "Bacterial small subunit ribosomal RNA", at positions 524 to 768 of the family's 1533-position model. The record is from RNAcentral. Lineage: Bacteria; Pseudomonadati; Thermodesulfobacteriota; Desulfobacteria; Desulfobacterales; Desulfatibacillaceae.